GAUGAACGCUGGCGGUAUGCUUAACACAUGCAAGUCGAACGGUCACUUCGGUGAUAGUGGCGGACGGGUGAGUAACGCGUGAGAAUCUGUCUUCAGGUCGGGGACAACAGUUAGAAAUGACUGCUAAUACCGGAUGUGCCUUUGGGUGAAAGAUUUAUUGCCUGAAAAAGAGCUCGCGUCAGAUUAGCUAGUAGGUGGUGUAAGAGACUACCUAGGCUCCGAUCUGUAGCUGGUCUGAGAGGACGAUCAGCUACACUGGAACUGAGACACGGUCCAGACUCCUACGGGAGGCAGCAGUGGGGAAUUUUCCGCAAUGGGCGAAAGCCUGACGGAGCAAUACCGCGUGAGGGACGAAGGCUUUUGGGUCGUAAACCUCUUUUCUCAAGGAAGAUGAUGACGGUACUUGAGGAAUAAGCAUCGGCUAACCCUGUG
This 432-nucleotide ribosomal RNA is filed under the name uncultured bacterium. Its description in RNAcentral is "partial 16S ribosomal RNA". It matches the Rfam family "Bacterial small subunit ribosomal RNA", at positions 28 to 507 of the family's 1533-position model. The record is from RNAcentral.